This 519-nucleotide ribosomal RNA is filed under the name uncultured Fusobacterium sp. Its description in RNAcentral is "bacterial SSU rRNA". It matches the Rfam family "Bacterial small subunit ribosomal RNA", at positions 240 to 776 of the family's 1533-position model. Lineage: Bacteria; Fusobacteriati; Fusobacteriota; Fusobacteriia; Fusobacteriales; Fusobacteriaceae. The record is from RNAcentral.
AUUAGCUAGGUGGAGAGGUAACGGCUCACUAAAGCGAUGAUGGGUAGCCGGCCUGAGAGGGUGAUCGGCCACAAGGGGGAUUAGACCCGGCCCUAUUCUUCGGGAGGCAGCAGUGAGGAAUAUUGGACAAUGGACCAAGAGUCUGAUCCAGCAAUUCUGGGUGCACGAUGAAGUUUUCGAAAUGUAAAGUGCUUUCAGUUGGGAAGAAAAAAAUGACGGUUCCAACAGAAGAAGUGACGGCUAAAUACGUGCCAGCAGCCGCGGUAAUACGUAUGUCACAAGCGUUAUCCGGAUUUAUUGGGCGUAAAGCGCGUCUAGGUGGUUAUAUAAGUCUGAUGUGAAAAUGCAGGGCUCAACUCUGUAUUGCGUUGGAAACUGUGUAACUAGAGUACUGGAGAGGUAAGCGGAACUACAAGUGUAGAGGUGAAAUUCGUAGAUAUUUGUAGGAAUGCCGAUGGGGAAGCCAGCUUACUGGACAGAUACUGACGCUGAAGCGCGAAAGCGUGGGUAGCAAACAGG